Molecule: non-coding RNA, 87 nt
Organism: Pollicipes pollicipes
Lineage: Eukaryota; Metazoa; Arthropoda; Thecostraca; Pollicipedomorpha; Pollicipedidae
Source: the annotation of a RefSeq genome assembly
GCCCAGAUGACCAUCGGUGGUCCGGUGUGCAGGCUUCAAACCUGUAGGCGACUAGCGUCGCAGUGGUUCAAUUCCACCUUCUGGGCG